Molecule: ribosomal RNA, 580 nt
Filed under: uncultured rumen bacterium
Lineage: Bacteria
Description: bacterial SSU rRNA
Rfam family: Bacterial small subunit ribosomal RNA
Source: RNAcentral
GUCACCGGGAGGCAUCUCCUGGUGACCAAAGAUUUAUCGCUCUGGGAUGGGCUCAUGUCUGAUUAGAUAGUUGGCGGGGCAACGGCCCACCAAGUCUGCGAUCAGUAGCCGGACUGAGAGGUUGAACGGCCACAUUGGGACUGAGAUACGGCCCAGACUCCUACGGGAGGCAGCAGUGGGGAAUAUUGGGCAAUGGGCGCAAGCCUGACCCAGCAACGCCGCGUGAAGGAAGAAGGCUUUCGGGUUGUAAACUUCUUUUAUCAGGGACGAAGGAUGUGACGGUACCUGAUGAAUAAGCCACGGCUAACUACGUGCCAGCAGCCGCGGUAAUACGUAGGUGGCGAGCGUUGUCCGGAUUUACUGGGUGUAAAGGGCGCGUAGGCGGGAAGGCAAGUCAGGUGUGAAAUCUAUGGGCUCAACCCAUAAACUGCACUUGAAACUGUUUUUCUUGAGUGUCGGAGAGGUAGAUGGAAUUCCUAGUGUAGCGGUGAAAUGCGUAGAUAUUAGGAGGAACACCAGUGGCGAAGGCGAUCUACUGGACGAUAACUGACGCUGAGGCGCGAAAGCGUGGGGAGCAAAC